CUUGUACUCCCUCCGUUCCUAAAUAUUUGUCUUUCUAGUCAUUUCAACAAGUGACUACAUACGGAGCAAAAUGAGUGAAUCUACACUCUAAAAUAUGUCUACAUACAUCCGUAUGUAGUAAUCAUUUGAAAUGUCCAGAAAGACAAAUAUUUAGGAACGGAGGGAGUAUAUU
Molecule: non-coding RNA, 172 nt
Organism: Triticum urartu
Lineage: Eukaryota; Viridiplantae; Streptophyta; Magnoliopsida; Poales; Poaceae
Source: Rfam